RNAcentral lists this non-coding RNA (90 nucleotides) under Calothrix sp. Lineage: Bacteria; Bacillati; Cyanobacteriota; Cyanophyceae; Nostocales; Calotrichaceae. The record is from RNAcentral. RNAcentral also lists the same sequence under 1 other name.
CUAGAGAUUGGAUUUGGGAAACUCCGGUGAAAUUCCGGGACUGUGCCGCAGCUGUGAUGGGAUUACCCAAGUCAGAAUGCCAAUUCCAAG